CCUACGGGAGGCAGCAGUGAGGAAUAUUGGUCAAUGGGCGUAAGCCUGAACCAGCCAAGUCGCGUGAGGGAUGAAGGUUCUAUGGAUCGUAAACCUCUUUUAUAAGGGAAUAAAGUGUGGGACGUGUCCUGUUUUGUAUGUACCUUAUGAAUAAGGAUCGGCUAACUCCGUGCCAGCAGCCGCGGUAAUACGGAGGAUCCGAGCGUUAUCCGGAUUUAUUGGGUUUAAAGGGUGCGUAGGCGGCCUGUUAAGUCAGCGGUGAAAGUCUGUGGCUCAACCAUAGAAUUGCAGUUGAAACUGGGAGGCUUGAGUAUGUUUGAGGCAGGCGGAAUGCGUGGUGUAGCGGUGAAAUGCUUAGAUAUCACGAAGAACCCCGAUUGCGAAGGCAGCCUGCCAGGCCAUGACUGACGCUGAUGCACGAAAGCGUGGGGAUCAAACAGGAUUAGAUACCCUAGUAGUC
Molecule: ribosomal RNA, 460 nt
Filed under: uncultured bacterium
Lineage: Bacteria
Description: partial 16S ribosomal RNA
Rfam family: Bacterial small subunit ribosomal RNA
Source: RNAcentral